AGGGAAUAUUGCGCAAUGGGCGAAAGCCUGACGCAGCGACGCCGCGUGAGUGAUGAAGGCCUUAGGGUCGUAAAGCUCUGUUGAAUGGGAAGAAAAAAAUGACGGUACCAUUCGAGAAAGGACCGGCUAGCUUCGUGCCAGCAGCCGCGGUAAGACGAGGGGUCCUAGCGUUGUUCGGAAUCAUUGGGCGUAAAGCGUAUGUAGGUGGCCUUAUAAGUCAGGUGUGAAAGCCCCGGGCUCAACCCGGGAAGUGCAUUUGAUACUGUUUGGCUUGAGUACCGAAGAGGAUAGUGGAAUUCCAGGUGUAGUGGUGAAAUACGUAGAUAUCUGGAGGAACACCGGUGGCGAAGGCGGCUAUCUGGUCGAGUACUGACACUGAGAUACGAAAGCGUGGGGGUCAAAC
RNAcentral lists this ribosomal RNA (403 nucleotides) under uncultured bacterium. RNAcentral describes it as "bacterial SSU rRNA". It matches the Rfam family "Bacterial small subunit ribosomal RNA", at positions 356 to 773 of the family's 1533-position model. The record is from RNAcentral.